CUCUUGCCUGCAGCCAUGUAAGAUGUCUCUUUUGCUCUUCUUUCAUCUUCCACCAUGAUCAUGAGGUCUCCUCAGCCAUGUGAAACAGGAUGUCAUGGGAAUUCUGCUUCUUGGCAAUUUUCACGGAUUGUAAAAUUAGCUUACCAACUUGCAUAAAAACUUCUGUAUGUUAUUGAAUAUCAUCAGUUUUAGCAAGCAUUCUUGUCUCAUUCCUGAUUUUAGAGGAAAUACUUGAACUUCUCACUCGAAAGGAACUAAAAUAAUUCUGAGUACUAGCAAGGACUAAGAUGAAGUUCAAUGUUAUGACUGCAAAGUGAAAUGAUCAGAAGUUUCAUGGCCAUGAGUACUGCUGCCUGGCCCGGGCAUGAGAAAUGAGUUUGCUCUAGACUGCAGAUUGUGAAGACGAGCUUUGCAAAAAUCUAACAUCUAGUGCAUUCUGACUAUGGAGAGGAUAUAAUUGAUACCUUGAGAUCUCCUGAACAUACUGACAUUUGGUGGUCAUUGCUUCCUCUCUGAACACCUUCCUUAAUGUGAGAAGGAACUUGGAAUCGCUGUAAGAUCCUGAAGGGUUGCAACGAUUGAAUCAAAAGCAAAGGAUGGAGGAGUGCAGUGAGGGAAAGAGAUAUUUGUG
This 631-nucleotide long non-coding RNA is filed under the name Homo sapiens (human). Its description in RNAcentral is "non-protein coding lnc-REG3G-12:3". The record is from RNAcentral. Lineage: Eukaryota; Metazoa; Chordata; Mammalia; Primates; Hominidae.